GCCAGAUGUGUCAGUUCCCUGUGGAGACAGAGUUGUAGGCAGUUGUGAGCCACUUGGCAUGGUUGCUGGGAAUGGAACUCUAGUCAGGUGAUCUGCUACUCAGCUGGGACCCAUCCCUUGGCUUCUAUUUUGUUUUCCUGCCCUGGGUUUAUCAUAUCUUCUCUCCAGCCCUACCAUCACAGCUGAUGUAACAUACUUCCCAGCAGACGACUAAUUUUACAGCAAAACAAGGGCAGCGUUUGGGCUCGAGCACAUGGAAUUCACUGAUCUCAUGGAUCCCUUCACCCAGAAGCAGCUUGGCAGUCACUGCUGGAGCAUCCAGUCAACUCCCCUUCCUCCAUGCAGCGACAGAAGUAAGGACAUCCGUCCGCACAAGUUAACUAACAAGGCCCCAGUUUGAGCGACUUGAGGAACCAGGAGACCGUCUGCCUCCCCUUAACUCCUCGUUUGACUAACCCAAAGUUACCAAGAACUUCUGAGACCAUUGUAGAGGACUCGUUAUGGAAGAUGAUUGGACCCUCAAAGUUAGUCCCAAACCACCGAUUUGAAAAAGAAAUCGCAAACCUACAGUGCCUUGCUAUUCUGUGCUUCGAGAAAAAGACAAGUGCAUCUGCCUUCAGUGUCUGUGGCAGGCCUGACAAGACCGUUGGCUCCAGUUCAUUACUCCACUCUACUAUCAGGUGACCCAAACAGACCCUUCUUGUCAUUUGUGAUGAAGGACCAAGAGAAAGAGGAACAGGAUUGGUGGCAGCUAAACUGCAAAGCUCAGGAGUGGUACAAGGACGCAACACGAAGAGUAACGAAGCCAGGCCACCAUCAGAUUUCUGAAACCGAGGCCAGCAACCGAGACAGAACGCAUGGAGAACCUGCAGAGCUCCAGGCCCUGCUUUGAGGCGGCCUGAACCCCGCCUGGAGCUCCCACGAUGGCCCUCCCCCUCCUACCUUCUUUGCCCAGGCUGGUUGCUGUUGAACUCUUUUCACCGCCAGCCCACCCCACAGCGAGCUCCCAGCCCCAGUUCUGCAGUCUGCUCUUCAUCCUCGGCACAGCCUCCCUUUCCUUUACCGAUGCCAAGUGCGUUUCAAUUACACCACUUGACAAUAGAUUUUAAGUCCUGGGAAGGCAAAAGCAUUUUGAUCUGAAUGAUCUUGACUUCGCUGAUUAAGCAGCAGGGAUGAGUGACGUCCGUGAAAUCUUAAGGAUUGCUCCCUGAGAAUCAGCCACCGUGUUGGAGUACAUUUAUGAUCCCUAGUUUUAGUCUGUGGACUACAGCAGACAUCUCAGGUGCCUCCCCUCGCAUCUGCUUGACCCCCUGAUUGCAGCUACAGCCAGAGGAGGACAGUCCCAGACCCAUCGGUAGGGCCUCCUGCAGACGUCAUCAUUCCAGCGGCCAUCGGAGGUCAAGUGGGCACAGUCCUCGCCUCCUCCAAGCCCGUGCCCAUACCAGUCAUCAGGCUGCUCUGGUUUCCAGUUCCUACAGACAAAAGACCGGCUGAGAGUUCCAGGAAAUCAGACUCCCCUGCAGCCAUGAUCCCAGCCUUGGGAGCACAGUGUCCCAGAAGAACCCCCGGUGGCCUCACCUGCUCAUCCCAGGAGGUCACCACCACCAGGUGGGCGUUCUCCAGCUGGCAGUACUUGUCGGCCUCAGUCCAGGCCCUCCCGGAGCUGGAGAACCAGUAGCAGCUGCCUUCAUACUCCACCCAGUUGAUGGGGCAGCAGGUCCUCUCAGAGCCUGAGGUCCGACACUAACUGCUUCACGUGCAGCAGCAAGUUGGAGUGAUCUGGGGUGGCAGAGGACAAAAUGGGAGCAAAGAAAUCCGAUUAUGCUGAACAAGGCAUUUUGGAAUCUAGUUUGUACCUUGGGCCAUGCCUGAAGCUCAUGGAUAAUAGUAGUGUGUUUGUGUACACACAUACAUGCAAGUAUAUGCGUAUGUAUGUAUGUAUGUAUGGACAGAUAAAUGUAGGUGUGGAUUGUGGAUGUUUGUGUGCAGUUUUUCAUCCCUUUCCAAUAGAUUUAUAUUUAGACAAAUACAUUUUAUAAUGUAUAUAUAAAAGACCUGCACCACUGGAUAUGUGUAUUAGUCACAUAUAAUAAAAUAAUUACCCCACAACUUACCAACUUAAACAAUAGACACAGAUAGUCUCAUUGCAAAGCUCAAAGUGCAGCUGAGCCCAUUGGCUUUGGCUCAGGAUCUCCCUUGAGACACACCAAGACCAGUGGUCAUGUUCUCUGAAAGACUGGACUAAGGCUGGGAAGUCAACUGACCACGUGACUCACUCAGAUGGCAGGCGAGUUACUGCUAGCUGCUGUUUGGUGUCCUCUGUCCCUCACCAGGUAGGCCUCCCCACAAAGCUGCUUGAUGUCUUCUUAACUGCUGACCUAGCCUCAGAGUAACAGCCCACCAUUUCCACACUGUCUCUCAGGUCAGCCCUCCCCAUUGUGGAAAAGAACUAAUACAGUGUAAGUCCCAGGAGGCGAGAAUUCAGACGUGUGCUCAAAGAUGCCUCACUGAUCACUGAUAUCACUAUAUGACUGAUACAUUUAAAGAUGGUGUGGCUUCCCUACAGGGACCACAAAGAGCUGUAGCUCUGUUGGAGAUGUCACUUGGUGGUACAGAGCUUCCCCAGCAUGCAAAAGCCUUGGGUCCAGUCCCUAACCCUAUUAAAAAGGAGAGGAGGUAGGUGCAGGCAAGACAGUGGUGCAGCCAGAUACCUAAAGUAUGCAACUGCCUGCCCUUGGGGUAGAAACUGGGUCAGAGGGGCUAAGUGGCCCAGAGGCAGAGAGACGGGCCAGGAAUGCGCCUCUGAAGGGUGGGUCUUGUCCUGGGACUCUUCCUCCCAUCUCAGCUCCCUGGCUGCCAUGCCGUAGCAGCUAGCGGCCUUCUUCACCACACCCCCUACACUGCCAUGGUGUUCUGCCUCGCCACAGGCCCGAAGUGAUGGAGCCAGCCGAGCAGGACUGAGCCCUCUGAAACCCUAGGCCAAAACAAAUGCUUUCUCCUUUAAGCUGAUUUCUCAGGUAUCUUUUCCCAGCAGCAGCAACAACAAACAUAGGUGGAAUGAAACCUGUGGCCAGGGGAGAGCAGAGAAUGCAGGCCAGGGAUGCGAGCCAGGAGCUGGAGGUGACCAAGUGUGGCGUCUCCUUUGGGGAAACCAGGGCGAGGGAAGUAUUUUUCAGGUUGGUAGAAGCCUGGAGUGCUACAAAUCUUCGAAGGAACUGGCCAGGCGAGCAUGCGAAUACUGAGGAUGAGCAAGAGGGAGGGUCUGCAGGCCCCCAGAGGGAUGGGGUAGAAAGCUGAGGCCCACUACCAGACAGCUCUGGGCUCAUCUGAGAAGCUGGGUUAAUGCCCAUCUCAAGGGUCUGUCCAAGUUAAAGAUGACAGCUCUGUGCCGCCCUUGCUGGAUGUCGUGUGCCGGCUCUUUUCGUCAUUUUCCCUAGCAGCCCAGCAAGAACUGGGCUGUGUCUUGGUUGCUUUUCUCUUACUGUAAAGAGACACCAUGACCAAGGCAACUUAUUUUUUUUAACUUAAUUGGGGGCUUCUUACAGUUCCAGGGGGUGAGCCCAUGACCAGCACUGCAGGGAGCAUGGCAGCGGGCGACAGGCAUGGCGCUGGCAUAGCAGCCGAGCGCUCACAUCUGACCCACAAACAGGAAGCGGGGAGAGCAAAACUGAGAUCAGAGGACACCUUCUUCCCUUAGACCACGUGGGACUGAACUCACGUCAUCAUGCUCGACAACAGCACCUUUUCCCACGGAGCCGUCUCUCCAGCCCCUCCGACAGCUUCCCAUGGCACCUGAGCAUGUAAACUCUCAACUCCGUGGACCCAGACCCAUUGCCUUAACACACCUUCCUCAGCCCCUGGAUUACUGCUUUUGGCCCAAGACUGUCAGCUCAGCUUCACCCUGCCUCGCCCUACACAGACCCAAGCUAAGAGACUUCUC
Molecule: long non-coding RNA, 3940 nt
Organism: Mesocricetus auratus (golden hamster)
Lineage: Eukaryota; Metazoa; Chordata; Mammalia; Rodentia; Cricetidae
Exons: 11
Source: RefSeq, a predicted model, not a curated record